Pseudophryne corroboree (corroboree frog) is the source of this 175-nucleotide long non-coding RNA. RefSeq lists it as uncharacterized. NCBI's taxonomy places the organism in Eukaryota, Metazoa, Chordata, Amphibia, Anura, Myobatrachidae. The transcript has 3 exons. The record is from RefSeq and is a predicted model, not a curated record.
UCCACACACAGCCAAAUUUUCUCCAGGGAUCUAUUCCUUGAGACCUAUUGAGGAAGUCGCAUCUUUUUUAUCCUUGUGAUUGUCAAACCAGCCAUAUAAGUUUUGCUUUCAGAAUUUCACGUGAGUCAACAUUGAAACCAGAAAUAAUUUUGACUAUAAGAGCAGAAGACCACAC